Molecule: ribosomal RNA, 400 nt
Filed under: uncultured bacterium
Lineage: Bacteria
Description: bacterial SSU rRNA
Rfam family: Bacterial small subunit ribosomal RNA
Source: RNAcentral
GAAUAUUGCGCAAUGGGGGCAACCCUGCCGCAGCAACGCCGCGUGGACGAUGAAGGCCUUCGGGUUGUAAAAUCCUUUUUUGAGGGAAGAGAGUGACGGUACCUCUGGAAUAAGUCCCGGCUAACUACGUGCCAUCAGCCGCGGUAAAACGUAGGGGGCGAGCGUUAUCCGGAUUUACUGGGCGUAAAGCGAACGUAGGCGGCAUUGUAAGUUGGGCGUGAAAGCUCUUGGCUUAACUAAGAGAGGUCGUUCAAUACUGCGAUGCUUGAGGUUGAUAGAGGAGAGUGGAAUUCCCGGUGUAGUGGUGGAAUGCGUAGAUAUCGGGAGGAAUACCAGUGGCGAAGGCGACUCUCUGGGUCACACCUGACGCUGAGGUGCGAAAGCGUGGGGAGCAAACAGG